CUGUGGACGCCUAGAGCAGGAGAGAAAGCUUUUGGAACUUGGAAGAAUUGGUUAGGCAAGAAGAAGAGGGAUUUGGCUAAAGGAAUAUCAAGGAGGAUUGAGUCCUGAGAUUUGGGGGACACAGAGAGUGCGUUUUCAGGGAGGUUGUAGCUCGUCGGUUGUGCACGAGUCAUUUCAGGAGUUGCUAGCUUUCAGCAUAUACGAGGUACUAGCGAGGACCGUGGGAAGGCGCCGGCAUGAUCGAUACACACUGAAGAUUGUUUUAUGAUCUUGGGAGUUUGAAUAAUUGUAUUGACCGAAUAAUUAAACUAUUUAUGCCUUGUUUUUAAUGGAAACAAUUAUGUUUUAAAAAUGAAAAAUUUGUUUGAAAAA
This is an RNA transcript of Lactuca sativa (garden lettuce), 372 nucleotides long. RefSeq lists it as uncharacterized. The record is from RefSeq and is a predicted model, not a curated record. NCBI's taxonomy places the organism in Eukaryota, Viridiplantae, Streptophyta, Magnoliopsida, Asterales, Asteraceae.